AUUAAUAGUGGAUUAGUCCAGCAGACGGAUAACUCUGUUCAAGACAGCGAAGAAGGGCGCGGCAAGCUGCGAAAUGUCCUGGCGAGGCGCAUGUAGCCUUCGAACCAGGAAUGCCCUAAUAGGACUUCCUAUGCUUUUAGCAUAAUCCGAAAGGAUGGCGAACUCGGGGAAUUGAAGCAUCUUAGUACCCGAAGGAAAAGAAAUCAAUCGAGAUGCCCUGAUUAUCAGCGAGAGAAAAGGGUGUAAGGCAAACUGAAUCUGCCGUAGUAAUACGGUAGAGAUGUGGUGUUAUAGGACCUAUUUUAUAUCCAAACUUGUAUAUUCAAAGUUUUCUGAAAUGAAAUACCAUAGAGGGUGAAAGUCCCGUAGAAAUUCAUAAGUGGAUUUUUUAGGUAUCCUGAGUACUGCACAUUGGAAAUUGUGCAGGAAAUUGGGAGGCAUCAACUUCCAACCUUAAAUAUGUCUUGAGUCAGAUAGCAAACGAGUACUGUGGAGGAAAGUUGAAAAGAACCCGUAAUAGGGAAUUAAAAGAACUUGAAAUCUGUUGGAGAUAGCAGGAUACGGCUCUAAAGGAGUUGUAUCGUACGUUUCGAAAAACGGGCCAGGGAGUGCAUUUAAGUGGCAAGGGUAAUCUAAAAGAGAACCCGCAGGGAAACCAAUAGCUCGCAGUUUACGAGGAGCAUGGUGUGAUAAGUGCCAUUAGUCACUUGGAUGCGACCCGAAUCCAGAUGAUCUAAUCCGGGGCAAGGCGAAGUGGGGGUAAAACCCUGUGGAGGCCUGAAGAGGUUCUAGGUGCAUCUGUUCUUCUGACCUUGGAUUAGGGGUGAAAAGCCAAUCGAAUCUGGUGAUAGCUGGUUCCUGCCGAAAUAGGCCUAAGUCUAGUCUCGAGCGAGAUAACUAUAGCUGUAGAGCUACGGAUUGGGGAUUUAGGGGAAGAAAUUCCUCGGUUCUCUGUUCAACUCCGAAGGUUAUAGUAUUGUAGACCUUGAGAAACGGCGGUGCGCGGUAAACGUGUAUCGCAAGAGGGUAACAACCCAGACUGUAAUUAAGGCCCCAAAAUACUGAUUAAUUGUUAGAGGGUGAAAGGUGUAUAAUACCCAAGACAGCAGGGAGGUUUGCUUAGAAGCAGCAAUCCUUUAAAGAAAGCGUAAUAGCUCACCUGUCUAGGUCUUGUGCCCUGAAAACGGACGGGACUAAAUCAGUUGCCGAUAUUACAGACUUCAUUCUAGAAAUGAAAGUGGUAGGCAGGCGUUUUGUAAGGGCAGAAGCUCUUCCGAGAGGAGGAGUGGACCUUGCAAAAAUGAGAAUCCUGGCGUUAGUAGGAUCUGUAUAGAGUGAGAAUCUCUAGCAUCGAAAGAACAAGGGUUCCUUAGCAAUGUAGUUCAGCUAAGGGUAAGUUGGUCCUAAUUUAAGUCAUAACAUGACCUAUAAGAAAGGGAAAAAGGUUAAGAUUCCUUUACUAUUUGAAUACGUGUGGCAACACAAGGGUGAUUUUUGAAACUUUGGGCUAAAUCAGCAUUACUAACCUGUAAUGUUAACUAAAAUAAAUUGGGGAAGUACCGUAAUGGUGAGAACCUGAUUAAAUUUGGGAAUAGUGCGCUUAUGGCGCAUCUGGUUGAUGCCUGGAGUCCAUGAAAAAAGAAUCAUCAAGGAUUUCAAAUAACCAUACCCAGAACCGGCACUGGUGUUCUAGGUAAGAAGCCUAAGAUGUGAGGGACUAAUCCAAUCAAGGGAACUCGGCAAAUUAGCAGCGUAACUUCGGUUUAAGCUGUCCCUGUGAUUGUGUACGUAUGUAUGCGAUUGCAGGGUUCAAUAACAAGGGCGAUCCGACUGUUUAACAAAAACGUAACUUUCUGCCAAUCUGAAAAGAUGUGUAUAGAAGGUGAUAUCUGCCCAGUGCUCGUACUUCAAAACCUGUUUCAACGGGUCUAAGAGCGAGUAAACGGCGGGAAUAACUAUAAUUCUCUUAAGGUAAAAAUAAAAGUUGCCUUAGUAAAAUUCAGCUAUAUGCUGGAAAAUCUGAGUAUCUCACACUACUUUAAAAUUUUUAAAGUAACAAUGUGUUGAGUGCAGACAAUCAGCAGGAAAGACUGAAUGUUUUUGAAAAAACAUUUUGUAUCCUCAGAGACUAUACGCUGAAACUCGAAAGAGUAAGAUAUAGUCCGACCCAUUAUGCGAGUAAUGGAAGUAUGUAGAAAUGCAUACUCGCCUAAAUUAAUUCUAAAAUAUUUUUUAGGUUAGUACUCUUUAAUUUUAAAGAGGAAAGUAACAAAUGUGAGCGAAAUGCCUUGUCGCUUAAUUGGCGACCUGCAUGAAGGUAUAACGAGAUCGCUUCUGUCCCUGGUUGGAACCCCCUGAAUCCACUGUACUGGUGCAAAGGCCAGUGACUUCCAAUGGGAAGCGAAGACCCCGUAGAACUUUACUGUAGCUUGUAGCUGCAAUGUGGAGUUUGUUGUCCAGCAUAAGUAGGAGUCGCCAAAGCUUGAUCGCUAGGUUAAGUGUAGACAACAGUGUAAUACUACUCAAUGGACUCUACAUUGCUUACUCGGAAGAGGACAAUUAUUGGCGGACAGUUUGGCUGGGGCGGCACCCUGCUGAAAAGAUAUCAGUAGGACCCUAAGGUUGGCUCAAGAGGUUUAGAAAUCCUCUGUAGAGUGCAAGAGCAAAAGCCAGCUUGACAGAAUUUUGAAAAAUAAAAAAUUCUGGGACGAAAGUCCGGUCUAGCGAACCCUUAUGCCUUCUUGGUGAGGGCUAAGGCAAAUAGAAAAGCUAUCUCGGGGAUAACAGAGUGGUCGCGCCUAAGAGCUCGGAUCGACGGCGCGGUUUGCGACAUCGACGUCGGCUCUCCGCAUCCUGGCCAUGCAGAAGUGGCCAAGGGUGGAGGAGUUCACUCAUUAAAGCGGAUGUGAGCUGGGUUCAAUACGUUGUGAGACAGUAUGUAUGAUAUCUAUUGGAAGUGUAUAGUGUCUGAAGGGAAGGAUCUUCUAGUACGAAAGGAACGAGGAAUCGGGGCCUCUAGUCAAUCGGUUAUCUGGUAAGGUAUGCCGAGCAGCCACGCCCCAAGGGAUAAAUCCUGAAAGCAUCUAAGGAUGAAACCCGCCUUGAAAAGAGACACACUGGAGCUCCUGUAAAUGACAGGUUUGAUAGGAUUGAUGUGUAAGCAUUAAGGUAACGAGAUGUUCAGCAUGCAAUUACUAAUCGCUCCACCACUAAAAUU
This 3217-nucleotide ribosomal RNA is filed under the name Candidatus Woesearchaeota archaeon. RNAcentral's name for it is "23S ribosomal RNA". It matches the Rfam family "Archaeal large subunit ribosomal RNA". Lineage: Archaea; Nanobdellati; Candidatus Woesearchaeota. The record is from RNAcentral.